UACGUAGGAUCCAAGCGUUGUCCGGAUUUACUGGGCGUAAAGGGUGCGUAGGCGGUCUGUUAAGUCUUGUGUGAAAUCUCCCGGCUUAACUGGGAGGGGUCAUAGGAUACUGGCAGACUCGAGGGCAGCAGAGGAGAGUGGAAUUCCAGGAGUAGUGGUGAAAUGCGUAGAUACCUGGAGGAACACCAGUGGCGAAGGCGACUCUCUGGGCUGUUCCUGACGCUGAGGCACGAAAGCGUGGGUAGCAAACCGG
This 253-nucleotide ribosomal RNA is filed under the name uncultured bacterium. RNAcentral's name for it is "partial 16S ribosomal RNA". It matches the Rfam family "Bacterial small subunit ribosomal RNA", at positions 524 to 776 of the family's 1533-position model. The record is from RNAcentral.